Long non-coding RNA from Acanthochromis polyacanthus (spiny chromis), 728 nucleotides. RefSeq lists it as uncharacterized. The record is from RefSeq and is a predicted model, not a curated record. The transcript is spliced from 2 exons. Lineage: Eukaryota; Metazoa; Chordata; Actinopteri; Pomacentridae.
UUUAUGUGUUGAUUAUGUUUCGUAUCAGUAAUACAAGUCUAAAAAACUGAUUCAAAUGAUCAAGUUAACACAAUGAAGUAAAGAGUACUGGUAAUCUGCAGCUAUUUUCAUAAUUUCAAGGUAAAAUUCUGAUGUGUGAUUUUCUAGCUUUGCAGAUGUGGAAAUCCAAUGCACUGAUUUCUUAUACACAGAUGCUUUUGGUGUUUUUUGUUGUAAAAUAAAACAAGGCAUUUAUCACUGUUGGAAAUGAUUACAGGUAUUAUUUGUAACACUUUCUAACAUUGUAUGGACAAAGCAAUAAAUCAGUUAAUGGAUAAAAUCAUUUGUAUUACAGAUGCUAUCAACAGCAUGUCUUGUUCAUUUUAUUUAGUUGUCGGCCUUGGAUGAUGAGGUCCAGUUACCAGGAGCACUAGUCUGCAGCUUACUGGUUCCGUCCUGCAGCUCCUCCACGCCGUCCUCCUCUCUACAGACCAAAUCAAGAAAAGGGAACCAGGAAGCUGCUGUGGAUCCUCUGCAGUAUCUGGAGAGGUCAGAGGAACGGUUCUUGGAACAGAUCGGAAGACACCAAGACGUGACCUCUGCCAUGCUCCAGAACAUCCAGAAGAUGAAUGAAAACCUUGGUUGCACUGAUGGGACGCAUGGUGUCGGUGCUGGAGCAACUGUCCCAGAAUUAAACUGCAUUGUUGACGAUUGGCUUUUCUAGAAAAUAAAUCUUUUUUAGUACUUCA